GUCGGUGGACCCCAUUUCUUGACUGAAAUUUGAUUAUAGCCUGUAAAAUCGCCCGUUUGUGGAUUUCGGUCAAUUUCUGUUUGGAAUUUGGAAAAACUUUCUUCUGUAAAGUUGUAGAGAAUUGAAUUUCCUAUAAAAAGUCGCGAGUUUCGAAUUUUCUGACAAAAGGGCUAUUUAUUGUGAAUUAUUGAAGUUCCGAAGCUCCGAAAUAAUUGAUUUUUGGAAGUUUAAAAUAUUUUAAAUAACAAAAACGUUUUUUUCAUUAUGGUGUGUUACACAUGUGUGUUGAAUGAGCUGAAUUCAGUUCUUGGAAGGUUGGCGUAGGAAAAUUUAAUUUAUAUAUUAAUAUUAUAUUAAAUUUUCUGCUUUGGUGUUCUAAGCAUUUUCCUAUAAAUAGGGUGCUUAGGUUAGAAUUAAAAAU
This 421-nucleotide long non-coding RNA is filed under the name Panax ginseng (ginseng). RNAcentral's name for it is "long non-coding RNA (PGIN_LNC018519)". The record is from RNAcentral. Lineage: Eukaryota; Viridiplantae; Streptophyta; Magnoliopsida; Apiales; Araliaceae.